UAAGAUUAAAAGUGCUUAACCUUUAAAGAAAUAUACCAUAAACCUCUUACCAUCGAAGAUUGUCACAUGGAAUCCAUUUCAAUAAUAAAGAAAAUAUUUUCAUUUAUUUAGAAAAUUGUUAAUAUCAAACAUUCAUAUCAAUGAUGCAUAGAAUAGAGAAAAUCAAACAAAUAUGAAACAUGCUUAUGAUUUCUCAUUUUUUAUCUAAUCUUCACGCGAAGCUGUUCC
Molecule: long non-coding RNA, 228 nt
Filed under: Carica papaya (papaya)
Lineage: Eukaryota; Viridiplantae; Streptophyta; Magnoliopsida; Brassicales; Caricaceae
Description: long non-coding RNA (CPAP_LNC004848)
Source: RNAcentral